GAUGAACGCUGACAGAAUGCUUAACACAUGCCAGUCAUUGGCGAAGCUGCGCUUGCGCAGUCUAGCCAAGGCGGACGGGUGAGUAACGCGUAAGGAACUUGCCCUGCAGACAGGGAUAACAGACGGAAACGACUGAUAACACCUGGUAUUGUCAGGCUGGCGCAUGCCGGCCUGAUGAAAGGAGACGCUGCAGGAGAGCCUUGCGUCCUAUUAGCUAGUUGGGGGGGUAACGGCCCACCAAGGCGAUGAUAGGUAGCCGGCCUGAGAGAGUGAACGGCCAAAAGGGGACGGAGAUACGACCCUUACGCCUAGGAGAGGAAGCAGUGGAAAAUAUUGGAAGAUGGAGGCAACCAUGAGACAGGAAUGCAGUGGGCACGAAGAAGGUUUUCGGAGUGUAAAGAGCUUGCAGAAGAGAAGAAGAAAGUGACGGUACCUGCAGAAGAAGCGACGGAUAAAUACGUG
This 462-nucleotide ribosomal RNA is filed under the name uncultured bacterium. Its description in RNAcentral is "partial 16S ribosomal RNA". It matches the Rfam family "Bacterial small subunit ribosomal RNA", at positions 28 to 507 of the family's 1533-position model. The record is from RNAcentral.